RNAcentral lists this ribosomal RNA (372 nucleotides) under uncultured bacterium. Its description in RNAcentral is "bacterial SSU rRNA". It matches the Rfam family "Bacterial small subunit ribosomal RNA", at positions 30 to 403 of the family's 1533-position model. The record is from RNAcentral.
AUUGAACGCUGGCGGCAUGCCUUACACAUGCAAGUCGAACGGCAGCGGACCUUCGGGUGCCGGCGAGUGGCGAACGGGUGAGUAAUAUAUCGGAACGUACCUUUCAGUGGGGGAUAACGUAGCGAAAGUUACGCUAAUACCGCAUAUUCUGUGAGCAGGAAAGCAGGGGAUCGCAAGACCUUGCGCUGAUUGAGCGGCCGAUAUCAGAUUUAGCUAGUUGGUGAGGUAAAGGCUCACCAAGGCGACGAUCUGUAGCGGGUCUGAGAGGAUGAUCCGCCACACUGGAACUGAGACACGGUCCAGACUCCUACGGGAGGCAGCAGUGGGGGAUUUUGGACAAUGGGCGCAAGCCUGAUCCAGCCAUGCCGCGUG